MicroRNA precursor from Tursiops truncatus (common bottlenose dolphin), 62 nucleotides. The record is from Ensembl. NCBI's taxonomy places the organism in Eukaryota, Metazoa, Chordata, Mammalia, Artiodactyla, Delphinidae.
UCUUCAGGUCCCUGUGCGGGCGCCACUUGCCGGGGACCAGCCCCAGCUGAACAGGAUUCACC